AGCGAACGCUGGCGGCAGGCCUAACACAUGCAAGUCGAACGAACCUUUCGGGGUUAUUGGCGGACGGGUGAGUAACACGUGGGAACGUUCCUUUAGGUUCGGAAUAACUCAGGGAAACUUGUGCUAAUACCGAAUGUGCCCUUCGGGGGAAAGAUUAAUCGCCUUUAGUGCGGCCCGCGUCUGAUUAGCUAGUUGGUUGAGGUAAUGGCUCACCAAGGCGACGUUCAGUAGCUGGUCUGAGAGGAUGAUCAGAGACAUUGGUACUGAGACACGGCACAAAAUCCUACGGGAGGCAGCAGUGGGGAAUCGUGCGCAAUGGGCGAAAGCCUGACGCAGCCAUGACGCGUGAAUGAUGAAGGUCUUAGGAUUGUAAAAUUCUUUCACCGGGGACGAUAAUGACGGUACCCGGAGAAGAAGCCCCGGCUAACUUCGUG
Molecule: ribosomal RNA, 434 nt
Filed under: uncultured bacterium
Lineage: Bacteria
Description: partial 16S ribosomal RNA
Rfam family: Bacterial small subunit ribosomal RNA
Source: RNAcentral